RNAcentral lists this ribosomal RNA (429 nucleotides) under bacterium. RNAcentral describes it as "partial 16S ribosomal RNA". It matches the Rfam family "Bacterial small subunit ribosomal RNA", at positions 355 to 776 of the family's 1533-position model. The record is from RNAcentral.
UGGGGAAUUUUGGACAAUGGGGGCAACCCUGAUCCAGCAAUGCCGCGUGUGUGAAGAAGGCCUUCGGGUUGUAAAGCACUUUUGUCCGGGAAGAAAUCGCACCUGAUAAUACCGGGUGUGGAUGACGGUACCGGAAGAAUAAGGACCGGCUAACUACGUGCCAGCAGCCGCGGUAAUACGUAGGGUCCAAGCGUUAAUCGGAAUUACUGGGCGUAAAGCGUGCGCAGGCGGUUGUGCAAGACCGAUGUGAAAUCCCCGGGCUUAACCUGGGAAUUGCAUUGGUGACUGCAAGGCUAGAGUGUGUCAGAGGGGGGUAGAAUUCCACGUGUAGCAGUGAAAUGCGUAGAGAUGUGGAGGAAUACCGAUGGCGAAGGCAGCCCCCUGGGAUAACACUGACGCUCAUGCACGAAAGCGUGGGGAGCAAACAGG